AAUUAGAAAGCGAAAAUUUGCUCUUAGUUUCGACCUAAGCCUUGGUUUAAUACACCUCUAAUUG
This 64-nucleotide transfer RNA is filed under the name Panulirus cygnus (western rock lobster). RNAcentral describes it as "tRNA-Arg". Lineage: Eukaryota; Metazoa; Arthropoda; Malacostraca; Decapoda; Palinuridae. The record is from RNAcentral.